RNAcentral lists this unclassified non-coding RNA (230 nucleotides) under plant metagenome. RNAcentral describes it as "partial contains small subunit ribosomal RNA, internal transcribed spacer 1, and 5.8S ribosomal RNA". The record is from RNAcentral.
UCUCCGUGGGUGAACCUGCGGAGGGAUCAUUACAGGGUUCUCGCCCUCGCGGGUAGAUCUCCCACCCACUGUUAUCGUUACUGUCGUUUCUUUGGCGGGCCGCCGGGUCCCCGGCCGCCGGCGUCUAAUAGGCGGCGCGCGCCCGCCAGAGGCAUCCGAACCCUGAAUGUUAGUCUCGUCUGAGUACUAUAUAAUAGUUAAAACUUUCAACAACGGAUCUCUUGGUUCUG